CGUCUGCGCCAGUGAAAGACAUCCUUGUGAAGAAGUGCCCCUUUGCUCCUGUGGUUACCAAUACUGUUCCACAGUUUCCAAGGGUGAUGCUAUUAUAUUGCUGCAGCCACUCUAUGCACCCUAUUGAGUAAUUUAUUGGCCAAGUUCCUAACAGCGGAAAGGCCUGUCUAGAAUCCUGCUGAAUUUUAAAGUUUGACCACGAGUCCCUCUGAGCAAAGCAGAAUCUUUACAACCUGUAUGCAAAUGCCUUGUGACACUGAGAAGGCCAGAAGACAUUUCUCACUAUGCCUUUGAGAUGUGUCUGGCAGUCUGUAGAGAAGUGAAUCGUCUUGUGCUGAAAGCUGCAAGCAGCUGUCAGAGAUGCAGAGAAUAAGGACUGCCGUGAAAUUCUCCCACCUGUAUCCUUCUCCAGCCUGUACCCUCACUUCCUGAUGCUGAGUGGUGUCCCCAGCUUGGCCAUGAACUCUAUCUGCCUGUGGUACACUAGCAAGAUUGCAGGACCCCAGAUGGAUUCAGUCUGACGCUGUUCUUUAUUACCCAAUGGCACUGCCUGAACUCUGGAUGGAAAGGCUGUCAUCUUGCCUUUGGCCAGCAUCUUGCAGUUGCUACCAUACGCUGGCUGUUGCACACUCUCCUCUUCUGGGUGGCAAGGGUAAAUGAGAGGCCUUACUUCUUUUGACAUGCAAAAAAGAACAAAUGCCAUCCACUACAAUAUAUAAUUUCUGUGAGCGCAGUCACAGCCCCAGACUUAUUGAAAUAAGUUAUACUUGGUAUAAUUCAUUGGGGGCAGAGGGGGGAAGUUAUCAGCUACCAUGCCAACAGUCUUUGUAAAUACCAUUGGUUUUCAAUGAACUCUUUUUGACCCUCUGGUCUGAGGUUGCUGUUGUGUGAUGUACAUAAUUCUCUCAACACUGGUCCAUUACUUCUACUCAGGGCUGGGGGUCAAGCCUGUAGUGUAAAGUCAAAGAGAAUUAGCAGCCCUAUCAAUAACCAGCAGCAGGACUGCAGUCCAAAUGAUAGACCAUAAAAAUUCAAGGAAAGAUGAAUAAAAAGUGAGGAAACAUGCAUGUAUAUUCUAUAGUUUGAGCAGCUGCUGCGGACUAUCAACAUCAUCAGGAGAUCUCAGUGCAUUAGCAUAAAUUCAAAUGACAAAUGCACAGUGCUAUUCAGAGACUCAUUAAUUUGCAAUGGGUGCAGUGCUCAUGACAUAUUAGUGAAAAAUUCAAAUGUCUUUGUAGCAUUGUGAGUUUAGUUGUGGGACCUAAGUUGCUAAAAUGAAAACGUGUGCAAUUUUUUAGCAGUUUAUUAAAUUAUGAAGUGUGAUAACUAUAUCUGUGCGUUUUUUUAAGCAGAUGAGGUCCAGCGUGCUCCAGCACCAAAUUGCACGGUUUGUGUUGAAAUCUCCUGUCAGACAAAAUCUGAGCUGGAGCUGAAAUACCAGCUAGGUACUGGCUGCUGCAGCAUGCAGGCUGAGAUCUCCCCCUUCUGGGUGAAUGGCAUUGCCACUGAGAAAAAAGGAAAAUUCACUUCUUUCAGGGCUUCUGCUUUUUAUUCCCCAGUCUUCUCUGCCACAUUAGCCACCGGUUGUUUUGCACAAUGAUUA
Molecule: long non-coding RNA, 1603 nt
Organism: Chiroxiphia lanceolata (lance-tailed manakin)
Lineage: Eukaryota; Metazoa; Chordata; Aves; Passeriformes; Pipridae
Exons: 5
Source: RefSeq, a predicted model, not a curated record